GAUGAACGCUGACAGAAUGCUUAACACAUGCAAGUCAACUUGAACUUCGGUUUGGGUGGCGGACGGGUGAGUAACGCGUAAAGAACUUGCCUCACAGCUAGGGACAACAUUUGGAAACGAAUGCUAAUACCUGAUAUUAUGAUUAUAUGGCAUCGUAUAAUUAUGAAAGCUAUAUGCGCUGUGAGAGAGCUUUUCGUCCCAUUAGCUAGUUGGAGAGGUAACAGCUCACCAAGGCGAUGAUGGGUAGCCGGCCUGAGAGGGUGAUCGGCCACAAGGGGACUGAGACACGGCCCUUACUCCUACGGGAGGCAGCAGUGGGGAAUAUUGGACAAUGGACCGAGAGUCUGAUCCAGCAAUUCUGUGUGCAAGAUGAAGUUUUUCGGAAUGUAAAGUGCUUUCAGUUGGGAAGAAAAAAAUGACGGUACCAACAGAAGAAGUGACGGCUAAAUACGUG
RNAcentral lists this ribosomal RNA (454 nucleotides) under uncultured bacterium. RNAcentral's name for it is "partial 16S ribosomal RNA". It matches the Rfam family "Bacterial small subunit ribosomal RNA", at positions 28 to 507 of the family's 1533-position model. The record is from RNAcentral.